AUCUACCCUUGUGUCAGGGUCGGUUGUCACUCGAUCCAUCAGUUGAUUCAGUUCAACUGCAUUGUCUGGUCCUAUGUCAUAUGCACAUAGGUCAGAUUAAGUUGACCCUGUGCUGGUUGUAGCCUGAACAAACUCUUGGUUGGGUUUACUGCUGCUUCCAUGCACAACCAUGGGUCAUGGUGUGUGACGACUGUCAAACUGUGAUCUCUAUACAGUUGUCUAUCUACACCCUAUCUMUAUACACCUA
RNAcentral lists this unclassified non-coding RNA (247 nucleotides) under Candacia curta. Its description in RNAcentral is "partial ITS2". Lineage: Eukaryota; Metazoa; Arthropoda; Copepoda; Calanoida; Candaciidae. The record is from RNAcentral.